UUCCGGUUGAUCCUGCCGGAGGUCACCGCUAUUGGGAUUCGGCUAAGCCAUGCAAGUGGUGGGCGUUCCGAAAGGAAUGGCCCCGCGCACGGCUCAGUAACACGUAGUUAACCUAACCUCGGGACGGGGACAACGCCGGGAAACUGGCGACAAUCCCCGAUAGGCGAGAGACGCUGGAAUGCCUUCUCGCCCAAAUCCUCCGGGGCCCGAGGAUGGAACUGCGGCCUAUCAGGCUGUUGGUGGUGUAACGGACUACCAAACCGACAACGGGUACGGGCGAUGUGAGUCGGAGCCCGGAGAUGGGGACUGAGACAAGGCCCCAGGCCCUACGGGGCGCAGCAGGCGCGAAAACUCCGCAAUGUGCGAAAGCAUGACGGGGGAAUCCCAAGUGCCGUUGGUCUUUUUGAUCGACGGCUUUUCGGGAGUGCAAAAAGCUCUCGGAAUAAGGGCUGGGCAAGUCUGGUGCCAGCCGCCGCGGUAAUACCAGCAGCCCAAGUGGUGGCCGCGAUUAUUGGGCCUAAAGCGCUCGUAGCCGGGCUAGCAAGUCCUUUGUGAAAUCGGACGGCUUAACCGUUCGGCAUGCAAGGGAUACUGCUGGUCUUGAGGCCGGGAGACGUCUGAGGUACUCCGGGGGUAGCGGUGAAAUGCUCUAAUCCUUGGGGGACCACCAGUGGCGAAGGCGUCAGACGAGAACGGACCUGACGGUGAGGGGCGAAAGGCUAGGGGCGCGAACGGGAUUAGAUACCCCGGUAGUCCUAGCUGUAAAGCAUGCGGGCCAGGUGUCUAGUGUUCCUCGAGAGCACUAGGUGCCGGAGGGAAGCCGUUAAGCCCGCCGCCUGGGAAGUACGGCGCAAGGCUGAACUUAAAGAAAUUGCGGGGAGCACACAGAGGUGGGACUGCGUCAAUUGAACUCACGCG
Molecule: ribosomal RNA, 918 nt
Filed under: uncultured archaeon
Lineage: Archaea
Description: bacterial SSU rRNA
Rfam family: Archaeal small subunit ribosomal RNA
Source: RNAcentral